UGCAGAUGAUGCUAAGAAUAUUUGCUAUCUGACAAGCAAUGCUGACAGCAACACCACCAAGAUCGCUGAUGCC
Small nucleolar RNA from Erpetoichthys calabaricus (reedfish), 73 nucleotides. Its record names the gene SNORD24. It matches the Rfam family "Small nucleolar RNA SNORD24". Rfam says of the family: U24 is a member of the C/D class of snoRNA which contain the C (UGAUGA) and D (CUGA) box motifs. C/D box snoRNAs have been shown to act as methylation guides for a number of RNA targets. U24 is encoded within an intron of the gene for ribosomal protein L7a in mammals, chicken and Fugu. NCBI's taxonomy places the organism in Eukaryota, Metazoa, Chordata, Cladistia, Polypteriformes, Polypteridae. The record is from Ensembl.